AUUGAACGCUGGCGGCAGGCCUAACACAUGCCAGUCGAGCGGAUGAAGGGAGCUUGCUCCUGGAUUCAGCGGCGGACGGGUGAGUAAUGCCUAGGAAUCUGCCUGGUAGUGGGGGAUAACGUCCGGAAACGGGCGCUAAUACCGCAUACGUCCUGAGGGAGAAAGUGGGGGAUCUUCGGACCUCACGCUAUCAGAUGAGCCUAGGUCGGAUUAGCUAGUUGGUGGGGUAAAGGCCUACCAAGGCGACGAUCCGUAACUGGUCUGAGAGGAUGAUCAGUCACACUGGAACUGAGACACGGUCCAGACUCCUACGGGAGGCAGCAGUGGGGAAUAUUGGACAAUGGGCGAAAGCCUGAUCCAGCCAUGCCGCGUGUGUGAAGAAGGUCUUCGGAUUGUAAAGCACCUUAAGUUGGGAGGAAGGGCAGUAAGUUAAUACCUUGCUGUUUUGACGUUACCAACAGAAUAAGCACCGGCUAACUUCGUG
RNAcentral lists this ribosomal RNA (484 nucleotides) under uncultured bacterium. RNAcentral's name for it is "partial 16S ribosomal RNA". It matches the Rfam family "Bacterial small subunit ribosomal RNA", at positions 30 to 507 of the family's 1533-position model. The record is from RNAcentral.